RNAcentral lists this RNase P RNA (411 nucleotides) under Clostridium homopropionicum. RNAcentral's name for it is "Bacterial RNase P class A". It matches the Rfam family "Bacterial RNase P class A". From Rfam's summary of the family: Ribonuclease P (RNase P) is a ubiquitous endoribonuclease, found in archaea, bacteria and eukarya as well as chloroplasts and mitochondria. Its best characterised activity is the generation of mature 5'-ends of tRNAs by cleaving the 5'-leader elements of precursor-tRNAs. Lineage: Bacteria; Bacillati; Bacillota; Clostridia; Eubacteriales; Clostridiaceae. The record is from RNAcentral. RNAcentral also lists the same sequence under 1 other name.
CGAGUAAGCCAGAUGGUCGCUGCUGCAUAAAAGCAGGAGAGGAAAGUCCGAGCUCCAUAGGGCAGGGUGCUGGGUAACACCCAGUGAAGGCAACUUCAAGGAAAGUGCAACAGAGAUAUACCGCCUAAGUUUAUAGGAAUACAUUCUAACAAGUUAGAAUGCAUAAGUUCCACAAGCCAAAUCAUAGAUUUGGAGUGUCACUUAGGUAAGGGUGGAAAGGCGAGGUAAGAGCUCACCAGCGCACUGGCGACUGUGCGGCUAUGUAAACCCCAUCUGGAGCAAGAUCGAAUAGGAAGACGUAAGGGGCUGCCCGUCCCGUCUUCGGGUAAGAUCGCUUGAGUCUAUUGGUAACAAUAGACCUAGAUAGAUGACCGUCUAAUACAGAACUCGGCUUAUAGGUUUAGUCGCAUA